UACGAAGGGGGCUAGCGUUGUUCGGAGUUACUGGGCGUAAAGGGCGCGUAGGCGGCGCACCAAGUCAGGCGUGAAAGCCCUGGGCUCAACCCGGGAAUUGCGCUUGAGACUGGUGUGCUCGAGUACGGGAGAGGAUAGUGGAAUUCCCAGUGUAGAGGUGAAAUUCGUAGAUAUCGGGAGGAACACCAGUGGCGAAGGCGGCGACCUGGACGGACACUGACGCUGAGACGCGAAAGCGUGGGGAGCAAACAGG
Molecule: ribosomal RNA, 253 nt
Filed under: uncultured bacterium
Lineage: Bacteria
Description: partial 16S ribosomal RNA
Rfam family: Bacterial small subunit ribosomal RNA
Source: RNAcentral